AGAGUUUGAUCAUGGCUCAGGAUGAACGCUAGCGACAGGCUUAACACAUGCAAGUCGAGGGGCAGCGGGAGGAAAGCUUGCUUUUCUUGCCGGCGACCGGCGCACGGGUGAGUAACACGUAUGCAACCUGCCCAUGACAGGGGGAUAAGCGGGAGAAAUUCCGUCUAAUACCGCAUAACACCCCCGGGAGACAUCUCUCGGGAGUCAAAGGAGCGAUCCGGUCAUGGAUGGGCAUGCGGCGCAUUAGUUAGUUGGCGGGGUAACGGCCCACCAAGGCGACGAUGCGUAGGGGUUCUGAGAGGAAGGUCCCCCACACUGGUACUGAGACACGGACCAGACUCCUACGGGAGGCAGCAGUGAGGAAUAUUGGUCAAUGGGCGAGAGCCUGAACCAGCCAAGUCGCGUGAGGGAAGACGGUCCUACGGAUUGUAAACCUCUUUUGUCGGGGAGCAAUAAGGCGUACGUGUACGCAGAUGCGAGUACCCGAAGAAAAAGCAUCGGCUAACUCCGUGCCAGCAGCCGCGGUAAUACGGAGGAUGCGAGCGUUAUCCGGAUUUAUUGGGUUUAAAGGGUGCGC
Molecule: ribosomal RNA, 577 nt
Filed under: uncultured bacterium
Lineage: Bacteria
Description: bacterial SSU rRNA
Rfam family: Bacterial small subunit ribosomal RNA
Source: RNAcentral